GGGGAAUAUUGGGCAAUGGAGGAAACUCUUACCCAGCAAUGCCGCGUGAGUGAUGAAGGUCUUUGGAUUGUAAAGCUCUUUGAUUGGGGACGAAUAAAUGACGGUACCCAAAGAACAAGCCCCGGCUAACUAUGUGCCAGCAGCCGCGGUAAUACAUAGGGGGCGAGCGUUGUCCGGAAUGACUGGGCGUAAAGGGUGUGUAGGCGGUUUAUUAAGUUAGAAGUGUAAUACCUAGGGCUUAACUCAGGUGCUGCUUCUAAAACUGAUGAACUUGAGUGUAGGAGAGGAUGAUGGAAUUCCUAGUGUAGCGGUGGAAUGCGCAGAUAUUAGGAGGAACACCAGAGGCGAAAGCGAUCAUCUGGACUACAACUGACGCUGAGGCACGAAAGCGUGGGGAGCAAAC
RNAcentral lists this ribosomal RNA (403 nucleotides) under uncultured bacterium. RNAcentral's name for it is "bacterial SSU rRNA". It matches the Rfam family "Bacterial small subunit ribosomal RNA", at positions 356 to 773 of the family's 1533-position model. The record is from RNAcentral.